Molecule: long non-coding RNA, 299 nt
Filed under: Elaeis guineensis (African oil palm)
Lineage: Eukaryota; Viridiplantae; Streptophyta; Magnoliopsida; Arecales; Arecaceae
Description: long non-coding RNA (EGUI_LNC014462)
Source: RNAcentral
GGGCGGGUGAAAGGUUUUUUAUGCUUAUCAAUGGUUCAGAUCAAAUCUGACAUGAGAUCUGACGGCCAGCAUCAUUUCUGACUUUGAAUAGAAUUUUUGGGCAUGAUCCGACCCCCCAAAUUCCAUCCAUUGCUCGAUCCAACGAUUGCUGUUCGUCUCGACUUUGUUAAGAAAAAAAUUUGCACCAUUUGAUGGCCAGAAUAUAAUCUGGAGUAUGAUCGGACGGCUAAGAAUGAAUCCGACCCUGAUAAGGAAAAAACAGCUUGUUUUUUAUCAGAUUUGGGUGGUCCAAAUGCAAU